Molecule: long non-coding RNA, 252 nt
Filed under: Gossypium raimondii (Peruvian cotton)
Lineage: Eukaryota; Viridiplantae; Streptophyta; Magnoliopsida; Malvales; Malvaceae
Description: long non-coding RNA (GRAI_LNC001984)
Source: RNAcentral
UUAGAUUCUAUUCAUUAUACCAUGGGUGUCACGCUUCGUGUAACACCCCUAUACCAUGUUCGACUUAAGGAACCUGAUAUAGGAAUAUUACAUUUGGUACCAAAUUAAUUCUUGGCUAAUUACUAAUAUAAUUGAACAUAAAAAAAAUACUUGGAACAUACCUAAUAUUUUUCCUAAGUACAUGCCAUUCUAAUCAAAAACUUUAAAAUAUACCAUGUUGUUGCUUGAAGAUGUGAUGAGAUGAAAACUUGC